CGUGAUUCCGGAGCCCGAUUCCAGAUCGCAAGGUGUUUUUUUCUUGGACAUCGGGAUGAUGAUACACACUGGAGGGAGAGAGAGGACACAGGAAGAGUUUGAGGCAAUGGCGAAGGAAGCAGGGUUUACAGGGUUCAAGGCCACCUACAUAUCUCUCUAUUCUUGGGUUAUGGAGUUCACAAAGUAGAUAAAAGAAAGAUCUAUGUCAUGUGCUGCUGUAGUAGAGUAGAAGAUAUACAUGCCUUAUGUAUUGCUUUCAGCUCCCUGCUGCCAUAGUAAGCUACCACGAGGUCGAGAGACCUCCGAAUGGACUUUGCUACGCUUUGAAAUCAGACUUUGCGACAGUGCUGUAAUAAGAUUCCAAAAGUUAUAUGUUUAUGAAGGUUUUGCUCGUAUUUGUUGGAAAAAGUUCACAUUUCAAACAGAGAUUUGAAUAGGAUUUAUAAUGUGUAUAUACAUUAGAAAUAUUUUUCUUUAUAUAAUUUUUUAAGUUAUUUUUUAAAAAUAUUUAUUUUGAUUGAAAGUUUUUACGUUUGUUAUUUGUUAAAUAAAGUUGCAUACUAAAUCUCUUCCAGACUCGUCUAAUAUAUUAUUUUUGAGAUAUUUAUAAUAAUUCUUGAUAUUUAUCCCUAAAUAUCUCAAUGCCAAUAACAUAAAAUAUUUUAUUCAUAUCAAUCAUCUUAAAAUUCUUGAUGAGAAAUUUUUUAGUCUUGUACAAGAAACUAAGGUCACAAUUUGGAAGUAAAAUAUUAUCUAUAUACAAGAUCAAUAUAAUAAGCUUGCUCCCACUAAUUUUUAUAUAUAAAUAGUGAUCGACAUCAUUUUUUUUAAGAUUCGAAAAAAGUAAUGAUAUCAAGAAACUUUAUAUACCAUUGUUUGUAUUUCUGAUCAUAAAUAUAUUUUAAAAUUUAUAUAUAAAAUUUUUUUCUCUAUGAAUUGUUUAGUUUAAUCCAUAUAAAUCUUCUCAUCGAGAUUCUUAUUCAAAAGUUACUUUUAUAUCCAUAUGAUAUAAUACAAAAUCAGAAUGAAUUAUUAAUAUUAUGAUGAUUCUUAACAAGUUUAUUUAAAAAAUUAUAAAAAUUAUCUCGUUAUGAUCGAUAUAUUCUUUAUGAGUAAAAUUCUUGGUCACAAGUUUAACUUUUAUAUCGUUUGAUAUUACUCAUUGAAUAAUGUUUAUAGAUAACAAAACAACUUGAUGAGUUUCUUAAAAGCUAUUUUGGUGCAUUGAUCGAAACUUUUUUUUAAUAUAUUAUAUUAUUUUUUAUAAUCGUUACAAUGAGGAACUUUUUAAUUCCUAUUUCACAAUAUGAUUUUUUCAAAUGUACUAUAUAAACUAUAUAAUGAUAGGUCUUAUUUUUCUUUGAGAUCUUCUUAGAACUAUCGAUUGUGAUUAUUUUAUAAGAUCAUUAGCGAUUGAUAUCAACAUCAUAUAGGAGUUCAUCAAUAUUAUUCUAUUAUUCACCCACAUCAAUUCUUUUAGUAAUUUAAUAAACAAUAAUCACUUGAAUAUAAAAUGAUAAAAGAGUAUCAACAUGUAUUUUUUCAAUAUCAAGAUUAAAUUUUAAAAUUUUUAUUUUCACUAAUUUGUUAUUUUUUAAGAAUCUUGUAUUACCAAAUUUAAUUAUCAUCGUACUACGAUAAAGUUAAUAAAAUAAAUAUUCCUAUGAUUUUUUUAGAUAAAUAAUAAAAUAUCUAAAUAUAAUCCUUGAAUCUAAUUAUUUUUCAUAUAAAUUGAAGAUCCUUAUCUGUGUAGGAUAAUUAUAAAUAUAUAAAUAUCUUAGUUUUCGACUAGUCCAUAACAAAAAAAUAUAUAAUGAAAUUGACUUAAUAGAAACUUUAUUCAAGAUAUAAUCAUCCUUGGAGUAUCUACUCAUAUUAAUUCGAGUAUAAAAGAAUAACUCAUAAUACUUAUAACCAUAUCCGUAAGAGUAUGAUUUCGUCUUUCAACAAUCUCAUUUUGUUGUGUUACUUUUGAUAAGAUAUACUAAGCACAAAUACCUCGUUAUUCUAAUAAUCUAACAAAAGACAUAAAAUUAUGAUUCAAUUCAUCAAGACGAUAUCAUAAAACUUAUCAUCCUUGUCAGAUCUGAUAAUUUUAAUUUUUAUCUGAUUAUCUUAUCAUAGAUAUAAAUAUAUAUAAUUUAAUAAAAUUAUAAUUUUAUUUUAAUAUUUAAUUAUAGAACCAUUAUAAACUUCGAUACAGUCUUCUCGGACAAGAGGUUGGGCUGCAGUCAUUGGUGGCCGGCAUGUUGCUUAUGAGUUGGGAGACUAAGAAGAGUAAGAGAGGCGGGGUCGGACUUUAUACUAAGCUACAACUUCAAGUAUAAGGUGACGAACAACACACUGAUCAUCUACGCAUUAAUAUGACAUCGAUAUGACAUACGCAACCCGUAGUUAAAAGAAUUGUGUUUCACGGCCAUGACACUGCUAGCGUGAACUAUUUAUUGAUAUGUUUCUCCCUCAUCCGAUGAUGAUGAUGUUUCUCCCUCCUCCGAGCAUCACACCCAUGAAAAGAUGAUACGAAACAAAUGGUUGGAUGGAAAGAAUGUUUACAUUUGGGAUACCGUUAUAUCAUUGUAAGCAUCAGCUGGAACUGCUUAACGAAACCCACCUGCCGGUCAAUUUGAAUUGGUCGUGUCGGCCGAUUGCCACGAGUUAAGUUUCGAGACAAGAUCGAUCAUGUCGUUCGUACAUUUGAUUAACCUUUGGGUUGCCUGCAAAUACGGCACUGUACGCAGCUUGUGGAUCCAGUCGACGUGAACUCACGCGCAUGCCAUGCCAUGCCAUGUCGUUCCCAUAAUGAAAGAAAAUUUGAAUCAUUAUCCAUCCUUUUCUUCUAAUAUAUAUAAUAACGGAUGGACAUAUUUUUUUCUAGAAUUGUAAUAUACUAGUAGGCAUGUGACCAGCGAUGUUUCCAAAAAUAUAAAAAAUAAAAAAUAAAAAAGAGAGCUAAGAGCCGAUGAUUUGAAGGAAACUUAGCACAAGUAUAAAGGAUAUUCGAACGAUAUGAAUUUUAACGAAGAUCUCGAAGGUAAUAUAAAUCUAUCGAAUAGCCUUCAAUCAACCUCAUGAACAUAUUUAUAGUUUAGAAAUUUAUAUGAUGGAUAUGAUGGGUAGAUAUGAUCGAUCAGUAUUAAUGCAUGGAUAUGAUGGAUAGAUAUGAUCGAUAAGUAUUUACUUUUUUUUAAAUAAAAAAUAAAAUAAAGAUAAAAUUGGAACUUAGAACCUUAUAUAAACUAUGGAUCAGAAUAUUUAUAAAUUAAACUAACUAAUAUAUUCAAAAUAUAUCAAUUAAAAUUUUAAAUUCUUAGUCUUUGAUAAAUAUAUUUGAUACAUCAUCACAGUACUAAUAUAAGAUGUACCGAUCAUAUACUUAUUCCAACAUUGCAUAAAGUAGGACUAGUCAGCGUGUCAUUGCGUGAUAGUAUUGCGACCUCGUAGUCAUGACAUGAUCAAUCCUCCUACUUGUAGUAUACAAAUAUUCUUUUGUUUGUUUUCCUUUUCUAUCUUAUGUCGAAACAAAAUAGUCGCCUAAACUACUACACAUAAAAUAUACAUUCAAAAUAUUUCACUUGACAUUUUAAACCCUUACUAUUUAAUAAAUAUAUCAUACGUGUGACUAGUCAGCAUAUCCACGUUUGACUUCAAUGAGCCUUUUGGUCAUCUCCGUGAUAGUCUGGCGAUCUCGUAGUCAUGAUCAAGCAACGUGAGCAAUCCUCCUACUUGUAGUAUACAAGUAUUCCUUUGUUUUGUUUUCUUUUUCUAUCUUCUGUGAAAACAAAAUAGUUGCCUAAACUGCUACACAUAAAGUAUGCAUUGCAAGAAAAAUAUGACACAAUAAAUCUAGGGCUCUUAAUCUUCUCGCCAAUGGCAUGCAUGCAUCAAGACAUUUGAACUUUGCGUACCUCUACGCUAAGAUAUUCAGUGCUUCGACGCAUAUAAAUCUCAUCCCAACGAUUACUCCCUUAUCAAUUUGAUCCGGGUUUAUAGAGCUCCUCCAUUAUCGCCUCCCUCAUCAUCAUCUCUCUUUGUAAGGAUGGGAUUCACCAAGGGAGUGGUGCAGCAGCUGAGCCCCGAGGAGGAGGAGGAGGCACGCUUGCUCGCCAUGAGGCUUGUGACGGGAUCCUGCCUCCCAAUGAUUCUCAAUGUGGCCAUCGAGCUCGAGCUCCUCGAGAUCAUCGUCAAGGCUGGCCCCGGCGCCAAGCUGAGUCCCGACGACAUCGCCACCCAGCUGCCCACCGAGAACCCACAGGCGGCCGAUAUGGUAGACCGGAUCCUCCGCCUGCUCGCCGCCAACGGCGUCGUCAGUUGCUCUGUGGAAUCCGGCGACGAUGGGCGCCCCUCGUGCAAGUACGGGGCCACGCCUGUCUGCAAGUACCUGACCAAGAACGAGGACGGCGUGUCCAUGGCCGCUUUCUGCUUGAUGGUCCACGACAAGGUCACCAUGGAGAGCUGGUAGUCGACGGAGCCAACAACGUCUACUCUUACUCGUUUCUUCUCGCACUAAAAAGUUGGCCGAAGGAUUAAUCAGCUUAUUGGUUUUGCCUCCACAACGAUCGCAGGUACUACCUGAAGGAUGCGGUGUUGGAGGGGGGCAUCCCAUUCGAGAAGGCCCACGGCAUGACGGCGUUCGAGCACCACGGCGGCGAUCCACGGUUCAACAAGCUGUUCAACGACAGCAUGAGGAACCACUCCACCAUCUUGAUCAAGCAACUGCUGGAGACCUACCGCGGCUUCGACGACGUCAAGGUGCUCGUCGACGUCGGCGGCGGGACCGGCGCCACGCUCCACAUGAUCACCUCCAGGCACCCGCACAUCAAGGGCGUCAACUUCGACCUCCCUCUUGUCAUCGCCAGCGCAACGACCAACCCAGGUUCGCCAUUUAUAUCAGACAUUCGUCACUGUCAUAGUGCCUACCUCUUACAACGAAGCAAAAGAAUUCAUAAACUUGGGAUGCGUUGGCUCCAUGCAGAUGUAGAGCACGUCAGCGGCGACAUGUUUGAGAGCAUUCCGGGUGGAGGAGACGCCAUUUUCAUGAAGAACAUUUAGAUUUUUUCCUUACUCAUUUAAUGUUUGAGGUUUUGGUUAGGCAGCAUGUCGAACUUAUCAAAAAAAUUUGAAGGUUAUUAAUGAAAGAUACCACUCUUCAAAGUACUCGAGACAUAUCAAUCAACCAAAUGAAAAGGGUAAAUCAAGCGGGACAAACAAUCAAAAAGAAUGAAGGAAAAAUAUUUACACUUUAAGAUCGAGGAGAUGGAGUCAAAGAAAAAGCACACAAGGCACAAAUAUCGUCCUCCGCUUCCUCAUAGGGUGGAGACGCGGAGUUAUGCAUCUAUUCGCAACAAGUUUGACAACUCAUUAGUCUUUAUCGACGUUAUUUUGCAGUGGAUUCUUCACGACUGGACUGAUGAGCAGUGCGCGAGAAUACUAAAGAACUGUUGGAAGGCUUUGCCGGAGGAAGGGAAGGUUAUAGUAGUGGAAUACUUGCUUCCCGUGAUUCCGGAGCCCGAUUCCAGAUCGCAAGGUAUUUUUCCCUUGGACAUCGGGAUGAUGAUACACACUGGAGGGAGAGAGAGGACGCAGGAAGAGUUUGAGGCAAUGGCGAAGGAAGCAGGGUUUACAGGGUUCAAGGCCACCUACAUAUCUCUCUAUUCUUGGGUUAUGGAGUUCACAAAGUAGAUAAAAGAAUGAUCUAUGUCAUGUGCUGCUGUAGUAGAGUAGAAGGUAUACAUGCCUUAUGUAUUGCUUUCAGCUCCCUGCUGCUAUAGUAAGCCACCACGAGGUCGAGAGACCUCCGAAUGGACUUUGCUACGCUUUGAAAUCAGACUUUGCGACAGUGCUGUAAUAAGAUUCCAAAAGUUAUAUGUUUAUGAAGGUUUUGCUCGUAUGUUGUUGGAAAAAGUUCACAUUUCAAACAGAGAUUUGAAUAGGAUU
RNAcentral lists this long non-coding RNA (5934 nucleotides) under Musa acuminata (dwarf banana). RNAcentral describes it as "long non-coding RNA (MACU_LNC000728)". Lineage: Eukaryota; Viridiplantae; Streptophyta; Magnoliopsida; Zingiberales; Musaceae. The record is from RNAcentral.